GAUGAACGCUGGCGGCGUGCCUAAUACAUGCAAGUCGAGCGAACGGACGAGAAGCUUGCUUCUCUGAUGUUAGCGGCGGACGGGUGAGUAACACGUGGAUAACCUACCUAUAAGACUGGGAUAACUUCGGGAAACCGGAGCUAAUACCGGAUGAUAUUUUGAACCGCAUGGUUCAAAAGUGAAAGACGGUCUUGCUGUCACUUAUAGAUGGAUCCGCGCUGCAUUAGCUAGUUGGUAAGGUAACGGCUUACCAAGGCAACGAUGCAUAGCCGACCUGAGAGGGUGAUCGGCCACACUGGAACUGAGACACGGUCCAGACUCCUACGGGAGGCAGCAGUAGGGAAUCUUCCGCAAUGGGCGAAAGCCUGACGGAGCGACGCCGCGUGAGUGAUGAAGGUCUUCGGAUCGUAAAACUCUGUUAUUAGGGAAGAACAUAUGUGUAAGUAACUGUGCACAUCUUGACGGUACCUAAUCAGAAAGCCACGGCUAACUACGUG
RNAcentral lists this ribosomal RNA (497 nucleotides) under uncultured bacterium. Its description in RNAcentral is "partial 16S ribosomal RNA". It matches the Rfam family "Bacterial small subunit ribosomal RNA", at positions 28 to 507 of the family's 1533-position model. The record is from RNAcentral.